CCCACCCUCCACAAGUUGCCCUGGAGCACAGGGGAAGACAUGGGAUUUUAAUAAGCUAGAGAUCAAAGUCGGACUGGAAUGACUCUCGGCACCUGAGGGGGACGCGCAGUCGUGGAAGGCUGGGAAAGGGAGGGUCCACCAAGCCUCCGGGAACUGGGCCCAGAGACCAUCGGCCACCCAAGCUCCAGCUGCGCCCAGGAGGCCUGCUCCACCGGCACGGCCCACCCUGCCUGGCCGGCAGGGCUAACGGGUCUUGGGAAAUCUGGCUCUCCCACGAUGUAGCACAUGAGGAAACCAAGCCUCAGAAAGGGCCAGGAACUCACCCCUAAACGCAAGCAACUGGGUCCAGGUCCUGGAGUCUGGUGUCCUCCUGCCGACACAAGGGCUGCAAGGACAAGCAAAGCACAGGGCCGGCGAGGGCGAGGCAGGACGGUGUCACACACAGCUGGACUUGUCAGGACUGUCCUCUCUAAGUGGUGAGCACAGCACGGCGGCCUGGCAGAAGCGGCUGCCAGCUGCAGGCGAGACGUGGGAGGGCCUGCUUGGUUUGCAACGCAUUUUCUGGAUUUGGCAGCCUCCGCGGCCGCAGGCGUGCAAGGUGCACACAGCAGGUGCUCGGGGUCAAACGUGGAGGCUGUGUUCUGCUGGAAGGAACAGAAACCCCGCCGAGCAGUGGCCCACCCGGUGGCGGUUUAUCCCGCUCGAGGAGCAGUCUGGGCGUGCAGGUUAGAGGACUCCGGCUGGAUUCAACUCUUCCUCCCCCAUCCCGUGUCCCCGCUGCCUCCAAACAGGCAUCGCCUUUCCAGGCAGGCAGGCGGGGGAGGCCAAGGGGGAUGAGCAGCAAGUGUCUCAAACUUCCCCGGAAGCCCCACCCCAAAACUUCUGCUCACACCUCACUGCGCAGACCGGCAGCUCAGUGCGCCAGUCAGCCGGGGCUGCCGGAACGCAGCGCCCCAGACCGGCGGCUCAGACAACAGACACUACUUCUUCCAGUGUGAGGCCGCAAGUCCGAGAUCAAGGAGUGGGCAGGCUGGGCCCUCCUGAGUUCUCUCUCCUUGGCUCUUAGUCGUUGUCUCCUCUGUGUCCUGGCCUGGUGAUCCCUUCGUGCAUGUCUGUGUCCUAAUCUCCCUUCUUGUAAGACACCAGUUGUACCGGACCAGGCCCACCCUCACGACCGUUCCCCUUAAGCACCUCUGCCAAGGGCCGUCUCCAAACACGGACCACCCUGAGGUCCUGGGGUUGGGACUCAGCAUACGGAUUUUGGGCGAGACACAGUUCAGCCGCAGCACUGGCCAUCCCCAGCUGGGCGAGGGACGGGGCCAGGCCUUUCAGCCUUCCCUACAAACCCAGCCAGCCCUGGAGCUGGCAGCCUGUGCGUGGGAGUGCGGGGGCCUGUCCCCAGGGUCUGCGACCCCUCGCUCCCAAGACUACUGACUUGUCUAGGCUAAGAUUUCUGCUGCAGUGCGGUGACGAGUUUUGGCUGGCACACAGAGUCCACCUGCCACCGUGGAACGCUUAUGCAAAGCCCAGCUCCAGACCCAGAGCAGGAUGGCAGCUGAAGUGGUUAAUGGGCUGCCUGGUGGAGGCAGCGGAAUUUGCCAGAGUGUGUUGUCAGAGUUGGCCAGGAUGCUCACGCGGAGGCCUGGGCUUUCUCAGAGGCUGGGCCCACUGCCUCCCACAGACCUCCCGAGAUAAGGCCAUGACCUGGCAGGAAAGUCUGCCCACCUGGGGUGGAUCAGCCACCGUGGCUAGGCAGCAGGCCACCACUUGCCGAGGCUGCAGGCUGGACAACCAAGACACCCAUCUCCCUGGAGCCCCAGGGACCACUGUGAGUCUAGAAAUCGAGGAAUGCUGUCGGUGUCCUUCCAGGUGGUAUGUUUUGGGAGGUCAGUGGCCCAGAGGUAUCAGGGAGGUCCCUGGGCAGCAGGUAGAUCCAGCUACCCACUGAGGGUCAGCCAUUUAUUUGUCUUUGCAGGCUAUUACAGAGACCACCUGGGCUGGAGGACAAGAGCUGCUGAGCACAGCUGUGCAGGCUGGGCACUGUACAAUCUAGGGGAGUCGUGUACAUAAGUAACUUUCCCUGGCAUCUUGGUUCAAAUACAGCAGCUUUGCUAGA
This is a non-coding RNA of Microcebus murinus (gray mouse lemur), 2116 nucleotides long. Lineage: Eukaryota; Metazoa; Chordata; Mammalia; Primates; Cheirogaleidae. The record is from RefSeq and is a predicted model, not a curated record.